UCGGGAAUUUUGGGCAAUGGGCGAAAGCCUGACCCAGCAACGCCGCGUGAGGGAUGAAGUAUUUCGGUAUGUAAACCUCGAAAGAAUGGGAAGAAUAAAUGACGGUACCAUUUAUAAGCUCCGGCUAACUACGUGCCAGCAGCCGCGGUAAUACGCAGGGAGCAAGCGUUGUUCGGAUUUACUGGGCGUAAAGGGCGCGUAGGCGGCGCGGUAAGUCACUUGUGAAAUCUCUGAGCUUAACUCAGAACGGCCAAGUGAUACUGCUGUGCUAGAGUGCGGAAGAGGCAACCGGAAUUCUUGGUGUAGCGGUGAAAUGCGUAGAUAUCAAGAGGAACACCUGAGGCGAAGGCGGGUUGCUGGGCCGACACUGACGCUGAUGCGCGAAAGCCAGGGGAGCAAACG
RNAcentral lists this ribosomal RNA (402 nucleotides) under uncultured bacterium. Its description in RNAcentral is "bacterial SSU rRNA". It matches the Rfam family "Bacterial small subunit ribosomal RNA", at positions 355 to 774 of the family's 1533-position model. The record is from RNAcentral.